RNAcentral lists this ribosomal RNA (825 nucleotides) under uncultured bacterium. RNAcentral describes it as "bacterial SSU rRNA". It matches the Rfam family "Bacterial small subunit ribosomal RNA", at positions 28 to 896 of the family's 1533-position model. The record is from RNAcentral.
GAUGAACGCUGGCGGUAUGCUUAACACAUGCAAGUCGAACGGUCUCUUCGGAGAUAGUGGCGGACGGGUGAGUAACGCGUGAGAAUCUGGCUCCAGGUCGGGGACAACAGUUGGAAACGACUGCUAAUACCGGAUGUGCCGAGAGGUAAAAGAUUUAUUGCCUGGAGAUGAGCUCGCGUCUGAUUAGCUAGUUGGUGUGGUAAGAGCGCACCAAGGCGACGAUCAGUAGCUGGUCUGAGAGGAUGAUCAGCCACACUGGGACUGAGACACGGCCCAGACUCCUACGGGAGGCAGCAGUGGGGAAUUUUCCGCAAUGGGCGAAAGCCUGACGGAGCAAUACCGCGUGAGGGAGGAAGGCUCUUGGGUUGUAAACCUCUUUUCUCAAGGAAUAACGCAAUGAAGGUACUUGAGGAAUAAGCAUCGGCUAACUCCGUGCCAGCAGCCGCGGUAAUACGGAGGAUGCAAGCGUUAUCCGGAAUGAUUGGGCGUAAAGGGUCCGCAGGUGGCAGUGUAAGUCUGCUGUCAAAGAAUCACGCUCAACGUGAUCAAGGCAGUGGAAACUACACAGCUAGAGUACGGUCGGGGUAGAAGGAAUUCCUGGUGUAGCGGUGAAAUGCGUAGAGAUCAGGAAGAACACCGGUGGCGAAAGCGUUCUGCUAGACCUGUACUGACACUGAGGGACGAAAGCUAGGGGAGCGAAUGGGAUUAGAUACCCCAGUAGUCCUAGCCGUAAACGAUGGAUACUAGGCGUGGCUUGUAUCGACCCGAGCCGUGCCGGAGCCAACGCGUUAAGUAUCCCGCCUGGGGAGUACGCACGCAAGUGUG